UUUCCGUAGGUGAACCUGCGGAAGGAUCAUUACUGAAGUGAGUCUUCAUCAUUGAAGCUUCUUCCCAUUGUGCUGGCUUUGUCCGUAUGUAAUGUUGGGGAUUAAACAUGGUUGAAAUUUAUUUUAGCCGUCCCCAACAAUUUAUCUUAUCCUUUAUUAAAUUGAACUGAACUCAUUUUGAGAUUACAUAAAAAAUAAUCUUUUAAUACAACUUUCAACAACGGAUCUCUUGGUUCUC
This 238-nucleotide unclassified non-coding RNA is filed under the name plant metagenome. Its description in RNAcentral is "partial contains small subunit ribosomal RNA, internal transcribed spacer 1, and 5.8S ribosomal RNA". The record is from RNAcentral.